RNAcentral lists this non-coding RNA (792 nucleotides) under Aedes albopictus (Asian tiger mosquito). Lineage: Eukaryota; Metazoa; Arthropoda; Insecta; Diptera; Culicidae. The record is from RNAcentral.
UUAUUAUUUUAUUUUAGUUAAUAUUUUUGUUAUUAUUUUAUUUUACAUGUAAAUUUUUGUAUGAAUUAAAUUAAUUUUUAAAAAAUUAAAUUUAUAAAUAUUUAUUCGCAGUAAUUAAUAUUAAUUAAAAAAGAAAUUUUGUAUUAGUAAUAAUAUAUAGUAUUGGUAAAAUUUGUGCCAGCUACCGCGGUUAUACAAAUAAUACAAAUAAAAAUUUUUAGUAUUAGUUAAAUGAUUAAAUUUAUAAUAUAAAUUUAAAUUUAUUAGGUGAAAUUUUUAAAUUUAUUUAUUUAUUAUUAUUAAAAAUAAUUUAAGCUAUAAACUUUUUAUAAUAAACUAGGAUUAGAUACCCUAUUAUUAAAAAUAAAUAUUUAAAUGCUAAAGUAGUAUUAGUUAUAUUCUUAAAAUUUAAAAAAUUUGGCGGUGUUUUAGUCUAUUUAGAGGAAUCUGUUCUGUAAUUGAUAAUUCACAUUGAACCUUACUUAAAUUUGUUUAAUUUGUAUAUCGCCGUCAUCAGAAUAUGUUAUAAGAUAAAAAUUUUCUAAAAAUUUAAUUUAAUAAAAUGUCAGGUCAAGGUGCAGUUUAUAUUUAAGUAGAAAUGGAUUACAAUAAUUUUAUUUAAAUGGAUAAUUUUUUGAAAUAAAGAUUUGAAGGUGGAUUUAAUAGUAAUAUAAAAGAGAUUAUUUAUAUGAUUUUAGCUCUAAAACAUGUACAUAUCGCCCAUCGUUCUUAUUUUUAAAAUAAGAUAAGUUGUAACAUAGUAGAUGUACUGGAAAGUGUAUCUAGAAAGAC